RNAcentral lists this long non-coding RNA (2693 nucleotides) under Nicotiana benthamiana. RNAcentral's name for it is "long non-coding RNA (NBEN_LNC021468)". The record is from RNAcentral. Lineage: Eukaryota; Viridiplantae; Streptophyta; Magnoliopsida; Solanales; Solanaceae.
ACCAUGACUUUCAUAUUCAGGCCCAAAUGUGGCCUAAAUAUUACAAGAUAUAAGCUGUAGGCGAAAAAACAGAAUUGAGCCUAAAUGGAAACAAGCUGAUAUACAAACGAAAGAGACAUGCCAAAUGACCCUUACAUGUUACUCGUUCCUUUAAAAAAACAAACAACCUUAUAUUAUACCUUGCUAUCGAAUUCAAAUUUUUAUGUUAAAACAUUUCAUUGAAAAAAAUAGAACAAACCAUAUAAUCAUCGCUUAAUGCAAACCUUAAGCAAUGUAAACAUGCUGACACAUUUAAACUUUGAAUAGUUAACCAAAUGAUACUGAAUCCUCAAGAAUCAACCUUCAAACAUCACACAAAAUCAAUAGCCUUAUAACACUAUUACAGGUAAGACUAUUUAAAUUUUUUCAGAAAGAAUACCAAGCUAAACUUAAACUGAGCCUUAUGUUAACAGAUAUAAUAGGAUAGAAACAGGAUCUUAAAACCACCAAAGCUAUUCACUUAUCACAAACCACAAUAGUUAGCCAACAAAUUCUAUCAAUACAAUUAUGUUAUAUGAAUUCUCCCUAACACUAACAGUCCUUAACUUGUAAACCAAACUCCAGUUUUACCUGAACCUCCAAAAAUCAUACUAAAACCUUCAACAUGAUUCUUGGACAUUUUAGAUUCAUUCAAGAGUAGAAGUUAAAUACAAAACAUACUUUCAUAGUCGUAUUUAGCUUCAUUAGUCACAAAAACAUCUACAAAAUGUGCUCAUAUAACUCCUAAACAUGCUAUCUAAUAUUGAAACUAAACAUCUAACUCCAAACACUAGCACGACUUUAUAAUAUGCAAGUAACAGCUCAUUUAACACCUAUCAUUACAGGUCUACUACAUGAUAUGAAACAAUAAGAAAAAUAGAGAAAACCUAAGUCAACACAGCUUGUAUUCCAUCAGACUUCUAGUUGAAUUACAUAAUCAACAUUCAAUCAAUGUUCAUAGGCUAGGGGAUACCUGGAAAUGAAAGGAAACAAGAGGUGAGGGAUCAGCAAUAGCAGUAGCAGAAGUUAGCCCAAAUGCAGUCAAUGAAACAGUGAAACCAAUAGAACAGUAGAAAAACUUUCAAACCAAACUCUUCCCAAGCCCAAGUUCAAUCCAUUUUCACCCAGAUGGCUCGGAAAUUGUUUCAGAAAAGGAAGACUUCAGAAAUCACAGACCAAAACUCAAUGGAACUGUAAUUUUUAUAAAAUUUUAACCUGUUUUCUAUUUUGCAAAAUUUUUCUCCUCCAAGUCUGCCCUAAAAUCUCAAGUAACAACGCAUUUAUAGGAAAACCAUUAGGGCAAACUUAUGGGCUCAGUUUUUGCUUUUUUUCUCCUUUCCCAAUUUUAGUUUUUGCUACUUAAUCCGUGAAAUAUUGACUUGCUUCCAAGUAAGGCUGUUUUGUAGCUUCUUGGAAGCUUGCUAGAUUAGUUAUUAAAAGAUUCCCAAGGUUGACUUCCUAGAUUACCCUUAAACCCCCUGUUAUUUCCUCUCAACAAACCACAUAGGUCAAUUUUGACCCAAAACUUAAACAAAAAAUUCAUGCGCUUCUCUUGAAAAUGGGCCUGAAAAUCCCAAAGCCCAAACGGCUUAGUUCAAGGCAUUUUGUUUUUGCUUCAGGGAACCCAAAUGGUUAUGGGUCAAAAUAACCCAAUGUUCCCCAAUAACAAAGCCUGCGCUAAACCCCUUCCUUUUACACCCAAGUCCAAUUCAGAAAAAAAGAAGAAGAGAAAAAUCAAAAAGGCAGAAUAAAUAAUAAACAAAGCAUUUUGGAAUCAAAUAGACUUCUGAGCCAACUCGCCCCUUUAGAUCAAAACUAAAAGAAAAUAAAAUAAACUAAAACAAAAUUAAAUGAUAUACCAAUUAACGAUUAGCCUGUAUUAAAGGGGCACAUGCAGAGGUGAUUUUGAUAAAAUAGAUGAAGAGAAUAAAAAAGGAUACAACAAAGAAUAAAAUUAAAUCAAAAAUGACAAAAGAAAUCAUGCAAGACCAGCAAAUGAACAAAAAUACCUGCCAACCUUGAUGUUCUUCGUCAAUCUCUCGAUUUUGACUGAAAGGGGUCUCAAUCAUGUAGUCUCGCAUGAAAACAUAUGACCAAGGUCCAUUUUGGUCCUAAUCGUCACCAAAUCUGCCGAUUUUUAGAGUUUGACAUUUUUGGUCUAAACUUCAAUUUAAGAUUCGACGAGCUCGGGGCAUAUUCAAGGAAAAUGAACUACACAUUUGGAACAAAGAGGGCUUAGAGGUCAUAUGGUGUUCGUUUGAGGUCGCAUAGUGGUGGCGCCCCCACCGGGGAAAGUAAGGGUGCUAGGGUUCCGCCCUUUGAUCUAAAAUUUGAGGUGUAUCAAACGGUUUUGAGAUGAACGGAGUGGGGAUUUUGGAUAGGGAGGUGGAGGAGAAGCACUGGUUUAAUUUUUGAAGUGAUUGGCCACCGGACACCACCGUGGGCGUUUUCCGGCAGGUGGCGGAUGGUGGUUCAAGAUGGCGUUUGGUUGGGGUCUCUGAGGGUGAAGUGAGAGAUGACAAGGGAGCAGGGGGUGUUUGGACAUAUAAGUAUAUAAUGACCUAUCAGUUCUGGAUCGUUAGAUUAGAGAAAAUCGACGGUUGAGAUUGAAUAGUUGUGAAACGGGGUCGUUUGGAUGGUAAGGGGCUGGACCGGGUACAAAUGCGGGUUUGGGC